RNAcentral lists this ribosomal RNA (374 nucleotides) under uncultured organism. RNAcentral describes it as "partial 16S ribosomal RNA". It matches the Rfam family "Bacterial small subunit ribosomal RNA", at positions 527 to 896 of the family's 1533-position model. The record is from RNAcentral.
GUAGGUGGCAAGCGUUGUCCGGGAAUUAUUGGGGCGUAAAGCGCGCGCAGGCGGUUCCUUAAGUCUGAUGUGAAAGCCCACGGGCUCAACCGUGGAGGGUCAUUGGAAACUGGAGAACUUGAGUACAGAAGAGGAAAGCGGAAUUCCACGUGUAGCGGUGAAAUGCGUAGAGAUGUGGAGGAACACCAGUGGCGAAGGCGGCUUUCUGUCUGUAACUGACGCUGAGGCGCGAAAGCGUGGGGAGCAAACAGGAUUAGAUACCCUGGUAGUCCACGCCGUAAACGAUGAGUGCUAAGUGUUAGGGGGUUUCCGCCCCUUAGUGCUGCAGCUAACGCAUUAAGCACUCCGCCUGGGGAGUACGGCCGCAAAGGCUG